This 1431-nucleotide ribosomal RNA is filed under the name uncultured organism. RNAcentral's name for it is "SSU rRNA". It matches the Rfam family "Bacterial small subunit ribosomal RNA". The record is from RNAcentral.
CUACAGGCUUAACACAUGCAAGUCGAGGGGCAGCAUUUCAGUUUGCUUGCAAACUGGAGAUGGCGACCGGCGCACGGGUGAGUAACACGUAUCCAACCUGCCGAUAACUCGGGGAUAGCCUUUCGAAAGAAAGAUUAAUACCCGAUGGUAUAAUCAGACCGCAUGGUCUUGUUAUUAAAGAAUUUCGGUUAUCGAUGGGGAUGCGUUCCAUUAGGCAGUUGGUGAGGUAACGGCUCACCAAACCUUCGAUGGAUAGGGGUUCUGAGAGGAAGGUCCCCCACAUUGGAACUGAGACACGGUCCAAACUCCUACGGGAGGCAGCAGUGAGGAAUAUUGGUCAAUGGGCGCAGGCCUGAACCAGCCAAGUAGCGUGAAGGAUGACUGCCCUAUGGGUUGUAAACUUCUUUUAUAUGGGAAUAAAGUUUUCCACGUGUGGAAUUUUGUAUGUACCAUAUGAAUAAGGAUCGGCUAACUCCGUGCCAGCAGCCGCGGUAAUACGGAGGAUCCGAGCGUUAUCCGGAUUUAUUGGGUUUAAAGGGAGCGUAGGUGGACAGUUAAGUCAGUUGUGAAAGUUUGCGGCUCAACCGUAAAAUUGCAGUUGAUACUGGCUGUCUUGAGUACAGUAGAGGUGGGCGGAAUUCGUGGUGUAGCGGUGAAAUGCUUAGAUAUCACGAAGAACUCCGAUUGCGAAGGCAGCUCACUGGACUGCAACUGACACUGAUGCUCGAAAGUGUGGGUAUCAAACAGGAUUAGAUACCCUGGUAGUCCACACAGUAAACGAUGAAUACUCGCUGUUUGCGAUAUACAGUAAGCGGCCAAGCGAAAGCAUUAAGUAUUCCACCUGGGGAGUACGCCGGCAACGGUGAAACUCAAAGGAAUUGACGGGGGCCCGCACAAGCGGAGGAACAUGUGGUUUAAUUCGAUGAUACGCGAGGAACCUUACCCGGGCUUAAAUUGCAUUUGAAUAUAUUGGAAACAGUAUAGCCGUAAGGCAGAUGUGAAGGUGCUGCAUGGUUGUCGUCAGCUCGUGCCGUGAGGUGUCGGCUUAAGUGCCAUAACGAGCGCAACCCUUAUCUUUAGUUACUAACAGGUCAUGCUGAGGACUCUAGAGAGACUGCCGUCGUAAGAUGUGAGGAAGGUGGGGAUGACGUCAAAUCAGCACGGCCCUUACGUCCGGGGCUACACACGUGUUACAAUGGGGGGUACAGAAGGCAGCUACCUGGUGACAGGAUGCUAAUCCCAAAAGCCUCCCUCAGUUCGGAUCGAAGUCUGCAACCCGACUUCGUGAAGCUGGAUUCGCUAGUAAUCGCGCAUCAGCCAUGGCGCGGUGAAUACGUUCCCGGGCCUUGUACACACCGCCCGUCAAGCCAUGAAAGCCGGGGGUACCUGAAGUACGUAACCGCAAGGAGCGUCCUAGGGUAAAACUGGUAA